AGAAAAGCGAUGAUGAGAAAUAGUAGCAAUUAGGAUUUCUAACAGAAAACUGCCGGUUGAUGAGAGGCGUGAGGAUAGUUUUUGCGAAUACAUCUUUGAGCUGCACACUGAAUAAAAGAUAAUUUAUUGAUUUUCUUUUUAGUAGGCUGUGACGGAUAGGCACCCCGUAAUCGCGUGCAAGGGUAUCGUCAUAAUUAUGGAUCGUACCUGGUGAGAUAAAACAAUGUGAAUUGUUUUGUGAAUUAAGGUGGUAACACGGGAAUAUAACCCGUCCUUUUA
Molecule: non-coding RNA, 279 nt
Filed under: Hathewaya proteolytica
Lineage: Bacteria; Bacillati; Bacillota; Clostridia; Eubacteriales; Clostridiaceae
Description: Clostridium proteolyticum T-box sequence
Rfam family: T-box leader
About the family: Uncharged tRNA acts as the effector for transcription antitermination of genes in the T-box leader family. T-boxes are found upstream of many aminoacyl-tRNA synthetase genes and some amino acid biosynthetic genes usually in Gram-positive bacteria.
Source: RNAcentral